This is a long non-coding RNA of Andrographis paniculata, 579 nucleotides long. RefSeq lists it as uncharacterized. The record is from RefSeq and is a predicted model, not a curated record. The transcript has 3 exons. Lineage: Eukaryota; Viridiplantae; Streptophyta; Magnoliopsida; Lamiales; Acanthaceae.
CUCUUCCUUUCUCUUUCGAAGUUGCAGCCUCUCUCUCAAAGAUGGAAUCCGCCGCCGCCGGAAGAGGACCUUUACGGUUCCGCCCGAAGGUAGCACUGUCAAGGCCGCCGGAAUCUCUUCGGAAAUAACACCCGCUGAUACCGACCACACGUCCAAAAUCUCCAAAUCUUUGACAUCAAAAAGUAUUUUGAAGACAACUAGGACAUUGUGGAUCACUUUGAGAAGGUGAUACCCUAACCAUUGUCAAGACAUUUGUUACCGCUAUUACAGUCCCGGAGACCGUACUUAUUCUCCCAUGUAAUUCCGGAGUGAAAUGCUUGAUGAGUACUCGACAUAGAAAACAUCAAGUGGACUUGCAAGGUUGUACAAUUUUUUUUUUUGAAAUGUUUGUUCUUUUGGGAAUUAAAUUACUUUAGUUGCUGAUAUAAUUCAUAUAUAUCAUUAGAAACACAUUGCAGUUGGUUGACCGCCUCUGAUUGCUUCAUCUGUUAUUUUGCACUCGAUGAGCUUAGUUAUUCAUAGUUGUAUUUGUUAGUCGACCUUAGGAUUGUACUGCAGUUUGAUACCAUAUUUAUUUAU